CACGUAGGGGGCAAGCGUUGUCCGGAUUUAUUGGGCGUAAAGAGCUCGUAGGUGGUUCGGUAAGUCGGGUGUUAAACCCCCAGGCUCAACCUGGGGACGCCACUCGAUACUGCUGUGACUAGAGUCCGGUAGGGGAGCGUGGAAUUCCUGGUGUAGCGGUGAAAUGCGCAGAUAUCAGGAGGAACACCGGUGGCGAAGGCGGUUCUCUGGGCAUGAUCUGACGCUGAGGAGCGAAAGUGUGGGGAGCGAACAGG
This 254-nucleotide ribosomal RNA is filed under the name uncultured bacterium. RNAcentral's name for it is "partial 16S ribosomal RNA". It matches the Rfam family "Bacterial small subunit ribosomal RNA", at positions 524 to 776 of the family's 1533-position model. The record is from RNAcentral.